RNAcentral lists this ribosomal RNA (253 nucleotides) under uncultured bacterium. Its description in RNAcentral is "partial 16S ribosomal RNA". It matches the Rfam family "Bacterial small subunit ribosomal RNA", at positions 524 to 776 of the family's 1533-position model. The record is from RNAcentral.
UACGAAGGGGGCUAGCGUUGUUCGGAAUCACUGGGCGUAAAGGGCGCGUAGGCGGCCGAUCAAGUCGGGGGUGAAAGCCUGUGGCUCAACCACAGAAUUGCCUUCGAUACUGUUUGGCUUGAGACCGGAAGAGGUUAGUGGAACUGCGAGUGUAGAGGUGAAAUUCGUAGAUAUUCGCAAGAACACCAGUGGCGAAGGCGGCUGACUGGUCCGGUUCUGGCGCUGAGGCGCGAAAGCGUGGGGAGCAAACAGG